Molecule: unclassified non-coding RNA, 352 nt
Filed under: soil metagenome
Description: partial contains 5.8S ribosomal RNA, internal transcribed spacer 2, and large subunit ribosomal RNA
Rfam family: 5.8S ribosomal RNA (bases 1-120)
Source: RNAcentral
GAUGAAGAACGUAGCGAAAUGCGAUAAGUAAUGUGAAUUGCAGAGUUCAGUGAAUCAUCGAAUCUUUGAACGCACAUUGCGCCCGUUAGUAUUCUGACGGGCAUGCCUGUCCGAGCGUCAUUUCAACCCUCAGGCCCCCAGUGCCUGGUGUUGGGGAUCGGCCCAGCCUUCCUGUAAGGCCGCCGGCCCCGAAAUCUAGUGGCGGUCUCGCUGUAGUCCUCCUCUGCGUAGUAGCACAACCUCGCAGUUGGAACGCGGCGGUGGCCAUGCCGUUAAACACCCCACUUCUGAAAGUUGACCUCGGAUCAGGUAGGAAUACCCGCUGAACUUAAGCAUAUCAAUAAGCGGAGGA